RNAcentral lists this ribosomal RNA (366 nucleotides) under uncultured organism. RNAcentral describes it as "bacterial SSU rRNA". It matches the Rfam family "Bacterial small subunit ribosomal RNA", at positions 526 to 896 of the family's 1533-position model. The record is from RNAcentral.
CGGAGGAUCCAAGCGUUAUCCGGAAUCAUUGGGUUUAAAGGGUCCGUAGGCGGUCUUAUAAGUCAGUGGUGAAAUCUCCCCGCUCAACGGGGAAACGGCCAUUGAUACUGUAGGACUUGAAUUAUUAGGAAGUAACUAGAAUAUGUAGUGUAGCGGUGAAAUGCUUAGAGAUUACAUGGAAUACCAAUUGCGAAGGCAGGUUACUACUAAUGGAUUGACGCUGAUGGACGAAAGCGUGGGUAGCGAACAGGAUUAGAUACCCUGGUAGUCCACGCCGUAAACGAUGGAUACUAGCUGUUGGGAGCAAUCUCAGUGGCUAAGCGAAAGUGAUAAGUAUCCCACCUGGGGAGUACGUUCGCAAGAAUG